AUUGAACGCUGGCGGUAUGCUUAACACAUGCAAGUCGAACGGUAACAGGCCUUCGGGCGCUGACGAGUGGCGGACGGGCGAGUAACGCGUAGGAAUCUGCCUCAUAGUGGGGACAACGUGGGGAAACUCACGCUAAUACCGCAUACGCCCUACGGGGAAAGCGGGGAUCUUCGGACCUCGCGCUAUGAGAUGAGCCUGCGUUAGAUUAGCUAGUUGGUAGGGUAAAGGCCUACCAAGGCGACGAUCUAUAGCUGGUCUGAGAGGACGAUCAGCCACACUGGGACUGAGACACGGCCCAGACUCCUACGGGAGGCAGCAGUGGGAAUAUUGGACAAUGGGCGCAAGCCUGAUCCAGCAAUACCGCGUGUGUGAAGAAGGCCCUAGGGUUGUAAAGCACUUUCAAUUAGGGAGGAAAACCUGUCGGUCAAUACCCGGCAGCUUGACAUUACCUUUAGAAGAAGCACCGGCUAACUCCGUGCCAGCAGCCGCGGUAA
Molecule: ribosomal RNA, 494 nt
Filed under: uncultured bacterium
Lineage: Bacteria
Description: bacterial SSU rRNA
Rfam family: Bacterial small subunit ribosomal RNA
Source: RNAcentral